GACGAACGCUUGCGACGUGCCUAAGAAAUGCAAGUCGAACGGGGGGUAACCCUAGUGGCGAACGGUCGCGUAACACGUGGGCAACCUGCCCUGAAGUGGGGGACAACAGUCCGAAAGGGCUGCUAAUACCGCUAUGGUGGAUUGGGAUGGCAUCAUCUCGGAUCCAAGGAUUGUUCGCUUCAGGAUGGGCCCGCGGCCGU
This 200-nucleotide ribosomal RNA is filed under the name uncultured bacterium. RNAcentral's name for it is "partial 16S ribosomal RNA". It matches the Rfam family "Bacterial small subunit ribosomal RNA", at positions 28 to 240 of the family's 1533-position model. The record is from RNAcentral.